UUGGAGGGCAAGUCUGGUGCCAGCAGCCGCGGUAAUUCCAGCUCCAAUAGCGUAUAUUAAAGUUGUUGCAGUUAAAAAGCUCGUAGUUGAAUUUCGGGGCCAGUAGGUUGGUCGUGCCACUGGUAUGUACUGGCCUUACUGGUCCCUCCUUCUUGCAGAACCGUGAUGGCAUUAAUUUGUUGUUGCGGGGAAACAGGACUGUUACUUUGAAAAAAUUAGAGUGCUUAAAGCAGGCUCGCGCUUGAAUAUAUUAGCAUGGAAUAACGAAAUAGGACGAUCGAACCUAUUUUGUUGGUUUCUAGGAUCGACGUAAUGAUUAAUAGGGAUAGUUGGGGGCAUUAGUAUUCAAUUGUCAGAGGUGAAAUUCUUGGAUUUAUUGAAGACUAACUACUGCGAAAGCAUUUGCCAAGGAUGUUUUCAUUAAUCAAGAACGAAAGUUAGGGGAUCGAAGACGAUCAGAUACCGUCGUAGUCUUAACCAUAAACUAUGCCGACUAGGGAUCGGAUGAAGUUAAUUUUUUAAUGACUCAUUCGGCGCCUUACGGGAAAC
This 549-nucleotide ribosomal RNA is filed under the name uncultured Glomus. RNAcentral describes it as "SSU rRNA". It matches the Rfam family "Eukaryotic small subunit ribosomal RNA", at positions 548 to 1098 of the family's 1831-position model. Lineage: Eukaryota; Fungi; Glomeromycota; Glomeromycetes; Glomerales; Glomeraceae. The record is from RNAcentral.